UAUAUACAUUACAUUAGAAAUAACUUUAAGCUUGCACUUCUUCCGGUACUACAUAUAAUUUCAUGUCAAUUCGAUUAGAUACUUUGCCAGAAACAGAAGCAAUUGAACAAGCGAAGAUUUAUCUUUCCAAAAAUAAAGAUCGCGAUGGCAUCUGUUGUAAAAUACGCAAAGAAUGUUUAUUAUGAUUCUUUUAAAUGGUCUGUAAUUAAGAGCAUUGGAUUAUUUGUAUUAGGCGUAAAGAUUGCUCUUGAAUGUAAAGGGAUGAACCUAAUGCCACCAAUCUCUUAAAAACUGAAAUAAGCAAGCUAAAAAUAUAAAAAUUACUAAUAUAUUUAAAUCUGCCAUAUUAUACAUGUGCAUAUGUAAUAUUUUGUAAUUUUAUUAUGUAAAAAAUCAUGUUAAUGGAAGGAGAACAUUUAUAUAUACUUGCUUUACCCGAUCCCUUCAUUCAUUUCUAUGCCUGUACGUAUGUAAAGUCAAAAACACAAUAUAUCAUGUUAAUAUUAUUUGUAAUAUGUAAUAAAGCUUUCAGCUGUUUUUAUCUAUUAAGAAGCUUUAUGUAAAAUAUAUUAAUGAAUGUAUUUGUUUUCCUUAAGCGGAUACGAUUAUGUUCGUAUAUUAUGUACAUGGACUACUGAAAUAUAUAAACAUAUAUAUAUAUAAUAUAUUUAUGUUAUAUAAUAUAUAUAUAUAUAUAUAUAUAUAUAUUCGACAACAAAUAAUUAAAAAGUAAUAGUGUAAUGUUUAAAGGAUUGAGGACUUAAUAUAAAAUAAAAUAAUAUUAUACAUGUUGAUAACAUUAUGUAUACAUAUAUAUAGAUAUAAAGAAAAAAAGUACGAAAAUUUCAUAAACACCUUCGUUAAUAUAGAAAAAUAUCUCCUAAAUGUUGAUUGGGGUUAGGUUUCUUCGAAGAUCUCUUAGUGAAAUCAAAAUUAAUUUUUAUUAAUAUAUAUUGUAAGAAUAGUGUUAUACUCAUUAAAAUAACACACUGUUCUCUUAUUAUUUUACUCUACUAUUACAGUAAGUAAAAAAUUAUUUCAUUCCUCAGUGCUUACAAUAAAGCUUUUGUACUGACUUACACUUUAUAAUAUGUAAUAUGUUUCACAAUUAUAUUUAUUAUCAAUUAAUAUCUGUUACAUUAUUACAGUAUAUAUAAAUGGACAAAUGUAAUUAGCUCUAUAUUUUUUCUAUUUAAACUCUUCCAAAAAGGUGGAUAUUUUUUACAUAACCUUUUCUCGUAAGUAAAUAUUUUUUCAGUUGUUCGUGUUAUUUAUAUUAAUAUCACUAAUUUAUUAUCAUUAGAAUCACGUUAUGUGGAGCACGUGUUAUAUAUAUAUAAUACCUAAUUCGAUCAGAUAUUUAUGAUUUAGACUUUAUUUACUACAUUACUACAAUAACAAUCUAUUGUUAUAUGUGAGAAAAUAUUUGUAUAUUAUUUACAUGGGUUUGCUCUCUGUUUAAAGAAUAGUUACUAAUCCGGAAGAAAUUAUUAAUGAAAAUUGUACAUAGGUUACAUAUCGAACAAACAAGAAAGUGAACUUCUGAAGACAUAGAUUUUUAGACAAAAGUUACACAUAUUAUGUUUUACACUAUACUUUAAUUUACUUGUAGCGUGCGUAUGUAUGGGUGAAUAAUAUGACUGAUGAAGAUAUAAAGAACUGAUUACAUAACUUCGAUACAUAAUACGAAGUUACAUUAAAGAUCAUGUAACACACCAUGUCAAAAAUAUUUAUAUACUAUGCUGAUUACUCAACUUCAGUUCAACAAGAGAUAUACCUAACGACCAAACAUCAGACCUGAUGUCAUACUGUGAAGGGUUACCCGACGGGUCUAUCCUUUCUGGCUAAAAAAAAGGUUACAAUGGAGAAUUUAUUGAAUAGACAGGUUCAGAGAUGUUAUA
Molecule: long non-coding RNA, 1901 nt
Organism: Bombus pyrosoma
Lineage: Eukaryota; Metazoa; Arthropoda; Insecta; Hymenoptera; Apidae
Exons: 3
Source: RefSeq, a predicted model, not a curated record